RNAcentral lists this unclassified non-coding RNA (1143 nucleotides) under Hevea brasiliensis (rubber tree). Lineage: Eukaryota; Viridiplantae; Streptophyta; Magnoliopsida; Malpighiales; Euphorbiaceae. The record is from RNAcentral.
GCAAUUCCAUAUGUAUUUUCCUCUCUCUCCGUUCCUCUGCUCAGUCUAUCUUCCCUCCUCUCUCCUUCUAAACACCAAAAGAAGACAAAAAAAAUGCUGUGCAUGUUUUCUUCUGUUAAUUAGUAUUUCAAGUCUUAAUUUCUUGCGUUAAUUUAUGUGGGUUUGAAAUAUACUGUAGCGUGAAAGAAGGGAAAACAAAGAAUUAAAGUUUUUGAUAGGACAGAAAGAUGAUGAAAAGCAACAGUGAGUCACCAAGACUUGAUCGAAAGACGGUCGAGAGGAAUCGCAGAAUUCACAUGAAGGAUUUAUGUUUCAAGCUGGCUUCUCUCAUUCCUUCUCAUCACUUCAAACAUUCUAAGGACAUGCUAUCGCAGCAAGGUCAACUAGACCAUGCUGCCGCCUACAUAAAGCACCUGAAAGAAAGAAUAGAGAAAUUAAAGAAGAAAAAGGAACAGGCAAUGGGAACUUCGGUAGCUAAUAAUAGCACCAUGGAUGCAAUGAUGAUGGGAUUGAGAUUGCCAAUGAUUGAACUUAGAGACUUGGGUUCAAGCAUAGAAGUGGUUUUGAUUAGUGGGUUGAAGAAGAACUUCAUGUUUUAUGAAGUUAUUACAAUUAUUGAGGAAGAAGGAGCUGAAGUUGUCAGCGCCAGCUUUUCAACCGUGGGUGAUAAGGUCUUCCACACAAUUCAUGCUCAGGUGAUUACUAAUGACUCAACUUUAAAUCAAUUUUAACUUUCUUGACAAUUAAGCAGACUAUUUUUUAUUUGAUUAGGUCAAAAUCUGUAGAGUUGGUGUGGAGACUUCAAGGGUAUGCCAGAGAUUGCAGGAACUGAUUUACUGGAGCUGCAUGUGAAAUCUGAAACAUGAAGAGUGAAGAGCUUCCAGGACUGUCAAAUAUUUUCCCUUCUGAAAUAUUGGCAUUAAAUCAUCCCACCUGCCAAAAGUACUGCCUAAUAGAUAUUCUUGUAAAUGCAGAAUAUCUAGCUAGCUUCAUCGUUCCUCUAUCAAUACAUAUAUAUGUAGGAAUAAUCUUCUCUACUUUGUGUAUUUUAAUAAUAAUAUAGUUCGCAAUUCAUGUUUUCCCCUUAAUUCUUAAUAACUUUAUUCUUACAUGAAUAUCUCUCCUUCCAUGUAUUCUCAAAAU